CCUACGGGGUGCUGCAGUGGGGAAUAUUGGACAAUGGGCGAAAGCCUGAUCCAGCCAUGCCGCGUGUGUGAAGAAGGCCUUCGGGUUGUAAAGCACUUUCAGUGGGGAAGAAAGCCUUGGGGCUAAUACCCUCGAGGAAGGACAUCACCCACAGAAGAAGCACCGGCUAACUCCGUGCCAGCAGCCGCGGUAAUACGGAGGGUGCGAGCGUUAAUCGGAAUUACUGGGCGUAAAGCGCGCGUAGGCGGUCUGAUAAGCCGGUUGUGAAAGCCCCGGGCUCAACCUGGGAACGGCAUCCGGAACUGUCAGGCUAGAGGGCAGGAGAGGAAGGUAGAAUUCCCGGUGUAGCGGUGAAAUGCGUAGAGAUCGGGAGGAAUACCAGUGGCGAAGGCGGCCUUCUGGACUGACACUGACGCUGAGGUGCGAAAGCGUGGGUAGCAAACAGGAUUAGAUACCCGAGUGUC
This 464-nucleotide ribosomal RNA is filed under the name Vreelandella stevensii. RNAcentral's name for it is "partial 16S ribosomal RNA". It matches the Rfam family "Bacterial small subunit ribosomal RNA", at positions 338 to 795 of the family's 1533-position model. The record is from RNAcentral. Lineage: Bacteria; Pseudomonadati; Pseudomonadota; Gammaproteobacteria; Oceanospirillales; Halomonadaceae.